UUCUUAAAAACUCAGUGCCGGCAUGUUGGAAUAUUCCGGAUUUCUCCCGGAGUGGGAAAAAUGGAAGAUCUUUUAAAUCGGGAAUGAGAAUUGGAUCGAAGGUAGUGGUCCAUAUGAAGCCAGUGGAGUAUUCCUUAAAUUUCUUGGAGCAUUUGGGGGACCAUUGAUUAGUUUGAUUUGGAAUUCUGCUAUCCAUCGUUGCCAACUUGACGACGAAAUGUCCCCUUUGGGUGAUUCGAAUCUUAUCUUUAUACUUUUGUUGCUUUUUCCGAUCGAAGUGAUUUCAUUUCUUAGAUAUUCGAUGAGUUGUCUUCACUAUGUAUCCGAAAAAAGUGCAUAUAAUAAAAUGAAUUGCUAUAAUUUGGCGUCAGUUGUACUUCCUACUGUAAUUGAAUCAAAAGCGAAGUUAACAAAUUCAUUUCGAGAGACU
This 430-nucleotide long non-coding RNA is filed under the name Octopus sinensis (East Asian common octopus). RNAcentral's name for it is "uncharacterized LOC115230524". The record is from RNAcentral. Lineage: Eukaryota; Metazoa; Mollusca; Cephalopoda; Octopoda; Octopodidae.